This 195-nucleotide ribosomal RNA is filed under the name uncultured bacterium. RNAcentral's name for it is "partial 16S ribosomal RNA". It matches the Rfam family "Bacterial small subunit ribosomal RNA", at positions 338 to 524 of the family's 1533-position model. The record is from RNAcentral.
CCUACGGGAGGCAGCAGUCGAGAGGCUUCGGCAAUGGGGGAAACCCUGACCGAGCGACGCCGCGUGAGGGAUGAAGGCCCUUGGGUUGUAAACCUCUUUUGUUCGGGAAGAAGUGCGAUCCGGUGAAUAAUCUGGUCGUUUGACGGUACCGGACGAAUAAGCUCCGGCUAACUCCGUGCCAGCAGCCGCGGUAAU